AACGGCGUUAAACAAAUUACUAUAACUUAUUACGAUUUGCGCUUUGAAUAGUCAAUCGACAGAGUUCAGUCUAGCGAAAAAGUACUCCGUCCACAGCGAUGGUCAACGCUGGCCGCGCGCCGUAUGUACGGACCGCAUAGGCCGCGAGUAUUCAGCGCU
Bombus impatiens (common eastern bumble bee) is the source of this 159-nucleotide long non-coding RNA. RefSeq lists it as uncharacterized. The transcript has 3 exons. NCBI's taxonomy places the organism in Eukaryota, Metazoa, Arthropoda, Insecta, Hymenoptera, Apidae. The record is from RefSeq and is a predicted model, not a curated record.